Molecule: long non-coding RNA, 935 nt
Filed under: Homo sapiens (human)
Lineage: Eukaryota; Metazoa; Chordata; Mammalia; Primates; Hominidae
Description: non-protein coding lnc-CCDC93-2:5
Source: RNAcentral
GAGAGCGCGCAGCAGCCCACAGCAGCCGAGUUCGCGCCGCCGGUAGGUGCUGCCAUGCCAGGGGGCGGGAUCGUGGAGCGCCUCGCAGAACCGCACGAAAGCAAAAACAAAGCCAUCUCUCCGGAGCAGAAAUAGAACAGACGUGGCCGGGGAAAGCCAAAUAUUUGUGAGAUGAUGUGAACAAAGGGGGAAAAGUCAAUCCAGGGAAGUUUGAGUUUCUGGUUGGAGGCUUCAGCGGCUCUGAUCGCUGGAUACUUUAAGAGAACAUCCUUUGCCCCCGCUCUCCCUCUCUCCCCGAAGAAAAAUAAAUCCUUGGCAAAAUGAGACUUGACGGCAUGAAAAGAAGGUCUCCAGACUGUCCCAGCUAAAAAAGCCAUAAAGCCUCUCUCCAAUCGCUUUCUCGGAGGGAGUUUUUGCAACCCCCACAACACAGGUUGAUUGGAAAGGUCUCUCUCCCGGAUAACAACAAUUCAAUGUGCCUUGACAUUUUAAUAGCCUGCCGUCCUGGUGAACACAAUCGAGCAAGGCAGUGAAGCAAACAUCAUUAGGUGGCUGGACUCAGACACAUCACGCUCCAGUUUGGGUUCCAAGGUGCUUCUCUCUGGAUUUUCACCUGCCUUGCCAAAAAUGAUUGAUUACGCUGGGCCAACUGGGUGUCCGGCAAUACCCAACAAAUGACUUUGGCCCCUAACAGCAGGUCUUGGCCAGACAGAAAUCAAUAUUUCACCAUUAAAAUCUAUCAAAGAAGAGUUAAGGCACCAUCUGUCCCUGCCGCCUCUCUAUGGUGUGUGAACAUUAAAUCCGACACUUGUACUACAUGGGUAAUCAAUAUAUAGUGGUUCACAGAUCAUUUGUGGUUCCCUUUUAGCAGUGAUGGAUGUCUGGAAUCGUUGUGAUUCAUUUUGUCAGACCAUUAAACAAGAUUCUGUCCAGUU